This 885-nucleotide long non-coding RNA is filed under the name Dicentrarchus labrax (European seabass). RNAcentral describes it as "lncRNA (ENSDLAG00005027721.1)". The record is from RNAcentral. Lineage: Eukaryota; Metazoa; Chordata; Actinopteri; Moronidae.
AUGUACACUCUUUAUUCUUUGCUCGUCACUUUCAGAAUGAUAACAAUCUAUGUGUACUCUUGUCUUCUUUCUGCUCUGAGUGUUGUGGUGGUGAAACCGCUCAACAUAGAUGGACGUAUUGGAACAAAUGUUACAUUCAAAUGCUCCGACUGGAACGUUUGGACUGAUGUAAAAUAUAAUGUAAAGUAUCUUUGUGCUGAUCCAUGCUCAAGAGUCAUCAUCAAAGCAGCAUUUAAAGAGACUGUACGUAAGAAUAGAAUAGAGUUAACUAACAGUGCAGAAGGUUUAUUUGUGACCUUCAUUCAUCUCCGAAAGUCAGACUCUAAGAAAUAUUAUUGUGCAGUGGAGAGACCUGGCCCAGAUUCAUAUAUAGAGGUGAAUCUUAAAGUCAUAGAUGCUGAGUCUUCCACUCCCAAGACAACUCCAAAAUCAUUUGCUGUUACAAAGAGCUCCACAGUGUCUUCAAGCAGCUCAGACAGUAUUACUGAUCUGUCUGCGUCAUAUACGACCCUUUAUACAACACCUACUGCUGAGUCUUCCACUCCCAAGACAACUCCAAAAUCAUUUGCUGUUACAAAGAGCUCCACAGUGUCUUCAAGCAGCUCAGACAGUAUUACUGAUCUGUCACCUACUGCUGGAAAUUCACUUUAUUGGCUUCUGGUUUUACCUUUUAUAAUCUUUGGAGUGCUUGUACUGAUGCUUACCAGGAAGAUGAUGAAGAAACAACCGAUGGUUGUUACCCCACCAGAAGAUGCAGGAGAGAGUGCAGGUCCUGAUGGAGUCUACCGAUCACUCCACCCAGUUACGAUGGAUGAAGACCAGGUCUAUAGCACUGUCUCACCCACCAGAGGCGUCUGUGACUCCACAGCUAAGUCACAGAUUUGA